GACGUAGGGCGCGAGCGUUGUCCGGAUUUAUUGGGCGUAAAGAGCUCGUAGGCGGCUUGUUGCGUCGACCGUGAAAACCCGUGGCUCAACUGCGGGCUUGCGGUCGAUACGGGCAGGCUAGAGUUCGGUAGGGGAGACUGGAAUUCCUGGUGUAGCGGUGAAAUGCGCAGAUAUCAGGAGGAACACCGGUGGCGAAGGCGGGUCUCUGGGCCGAUACUGACGCUGAGGAGCGAAAGCGUGGGGAGCGAACAGG
This 253-nucleotide ribosomal RNA is filed under the name uncultured bacterium. RNAcentral describes it as "partial 16S ribosomal RNA". It matches the Rfam family "Bacterial small subunit ribosomal RNA", at positions 524 to 776 of the family's 1533-position model. The record is from RNAcentral.